CUUUUACAAUGAAGAGUUUGAUCCUGGCUCAGGAUGAACGCUAGCUACAGGCUUAACACAUGCAAGUCGAGGGGCAGCAUGACCUAGCAAUAGGUUGAUGGCGACCGGCGCACGGGUGAGUAACACGUAUCCAACCUACCGGUUAUUCUGGGAUAGCCUUUCGAAAGAAAGAUUAAUACCGGAUAGCAUAACGAGAAGGCAUCUUCUUGUUAUUAAAGAAUUUCGAUAACCGAUGGGGAUGCGUUCCAUUAGUUUGUUGGCGGGGUAACGGCCCACCAAGACAUCGAUGGAUAGGGGUUCUGAGAGGAAGGUCCCCCACAUUGGAACUGAGACACGGUCCAAACUCCUACGGGAGGCAGCAGUGAGGAAUAUUGGUCAAUGGACGAGAGUCUGAACCAGCCAAGUAGCGUGAAGGAUGACUGCCCUAUGGGUUGUAAACUUCUUUUAUAUGGGAAUAAAGUGAGCCACGUGUGGCUUUUUGUAUGUACCAUACGAAUAAGGAUCGGCUAACUCCGUGCCAGCAGCCGCGGUAAUACGGAGGAUCCGAGCGUUAUCCGGAUUUAUUGGGUUUAAAGGGAGCGUAGGCGGACUAUUAAGUCAGCUGUGAAAGUUUGCGGCUCAACCGUAAAAUUGCAGUUGAUACUGGUCGUCUUGAGUGCAGUAGAGGUAGGCGGAAUUCGUGGUGUAGCGGUGAAAUGCUUAGAUAUCACGAAGAACUCCGAUUGCGAAGGCAGCUUACUGGACUGUAACUGACGCUGAUGCUCGAAAGUGUGGGUAUCAAACAGGAUUAGAUACCCUGGUAGUCCACACAGUAAACGAUGAAUACUCGCUGUUUGCGAUAUACAGCAAGCGGCCAAGCGAAAGCAUUAAGUAUUCCACCUGGGGAGUACGCCGGCAACGGUGAAACUCAAAGGAAUUGACGGGGGCCCGCACAAGCGGAGGAACAUGUGGUUUAAUUCGAUGAUACGCGAGGAACCUUACCCGGGCUUAAAUUGCAUCUGAAUAAUUUGGAAACAGAUUAGCCGCAAGGCAGAUGUGAAGGUGCUGCAUGGUUGUCGUCAGCUCGUGCCGUGAGGUGUCGGCUUAAGUGCCAUAACGAGCGCAACCCUUAUCUUUAGUUACUAACAGGUCAUGCUGAGGACUCUAGAGAGACUGCCGUCGUAAGAUGUGAGGAAGGUGGGGAUGACGUCAAAUCAGCACGGCCCUUACGUCCGGGGCUACACACGUGUUACAAUGGGGGGUACAGAAGGCAGCUACACAGCGAUGUGAUGCUAAUCCCAAAAGCCUCUCUCAGUUCGGAUUGGAGUCUGCAACCCGACUCCAUGAAGCUGGAUUCGCUAGUAAUCGCGCAUCAGCCACGGCGCGGUGAAUACGUUCCCGGGCCUUGUACACACCGCCCGUCAAGCCAUGAAAGCCGGGGGUACCUGAAGUCCGUAACCGCAAGGAGCGGCCUAGGGUAAAACUGGUAAUUGGGGCUAAGUCGUAACAAGGUAGCCGUACCGGAAGGUGCGGCUGGAACACCUCCUUUCU
RNAcentral lists this ribosomal RNA (1530 nucleotides) under Bacteroides cellulosilyticus. Its description in RNAcentral is "bacterial SSU rRNA". It matches the Rfam family "Bacterial small subunit ribosomal RNA". The record is from RNAcentral. Lineage: Bacteria; Pseudomonadati; Bacteroidota; Bacteroidia; Bacteroidales; Bacteroidaceae.